GGAGAUUGGAAACCUCACAGCAACACUUCCAAAAUUCCCUUGUAGCUAGGGUGUGGAUGUGAAACACCCUCUGUCAACCAGGUGCCCUCUUGUGAGAUUUGGAGGCAGAUGAAAAGAGAGGCCAUGCUUUGGCUGCUGUUGUUGCAGCAAGUGGGGUCAGAGAGGUCAUGUUAAAAGGCAGCUAAUGUUUCUGGGCUUGGGGUCCCUCUGAGGGGCUAGUUGCCAGCUCUGUGGGUGUGGAAGGCAGCUGUGGUGGCAACAGCACUGUCCUGAUUGUGGGAUCAUAGCUACUGUGGUGCCCUUGAACUCAGCACUCCAGGGGAAGUCCCUGACUUCUACCCACCCCUUCCCGGCCCCCAGCCCUUUUUCAAUUGUAUAAGCCCCUGCUUAGUUCUCAGGAAUAAAUCUUUCUCUGCUUGAAAUAUCUAAAGUGAUUUCUAUUAGUAAACCCAACACAUAUUCAGCCUUCCAGAUAAGUCUGGGUCUUUCUUGAGCCAUGAGGUUAGGCUAAGUGCCUCCUCGGAGCCCCAAAUGCCCCACUUUGCUGUCCAUGCCUUCUUAUCUUUGUGUUUCCAGCACCAGUGCUUGGCUCACAGCAGGUGCAUAGUCAAUGCUUAGUGAACUGAAGCUUCCUCUAUCAAGAACCAGGAGGCUCUGAAAUCUAGUCUGAGGGGCAUCCUACCUUAUGCUUG
This 692-nucleotide long non-coding RNA is filed under the name Marmota monax (woodchuck). The record is from RNAcentral. Lineage: Eukaryota; Metazoa; Chordata; Mammalia; Rodentia; Sciuridae.